Molecule: ribosomal RNA, 1563 nt
Filed under: human gut metagenome
Description: bacterial LSU rRNA
Rfam family: Bacterial large subunit ribosomal RNA
Source: RNAcentral
AGCGCGGAGCACGAGGAAUUCUGCGUGAAUCUGCCGGGACCAUCCGGUAAGGCUAAAUACUCCCGAGAGACCGAUAGCGAACCAGUACCGUGAGGGAAAGGUGAAAAGCACUUCGAACAGAAGAGUGAAAUAGUUCCUGAAACCGUGCGCCUACAAGCGGUCGGAGCUCGUUAAUGAGUGACGGCGUGCCUUUUGCAUAAUGAACCUACGAGUUGCCUUUGCCGGCAAGGUUAAGUGUGACGACACACGUAUCCGAAGCGAAAGCGAGUCUGAACAGGGCGUAUAGUCGGCAGUGGCAGACGCGAAACCAAGUGAUCUACCCUUGGCCAGGUUGAAGGCUGGGUAACACCAGCUGGAGGACCGCACCAAUAAGCGUUGAAAAGCUUCUGGAUGAGCUGAGGGUAGGGGUGAAAGGCUAAUCAAACUUGGAGAUAGCUCGUACUCCCCGAAAUGCAUUUAGGUGCAGCCUUGCGGGUUACUGAUGUGAGGUAGAGCGACUGAUAAGAUGCGAGGGCUUCACCGCCUAUCAAGUCUUGACAAACUCCGAAUGCGCAUCAGUUCUACCGCAGGAGUGAGGGCAUGGGUGCUAAGGUCCGUGCCCGAGAGGAGAAGAAUCCGGACCACCUGCUAAGGUCCCGAAAUGACAGCUAAGUUAAACUAACGAAGUCUGACUGCUAAGACAGCUAGGAUGUUGGCUUGGAAGCAGCCAUUCAUUUAAAGAGUGCGUAACAGCUCACUAGUCGAGGAGGCGGGCGUGGAUAAUAAUCGGGUAUCAAGUUGUCUACCGAAGCAGUGGGAUCAUUUAUAUGAUCGGUAGGGGAGCAUUCCAGUCAGCGUCGAAGGCGUACCGUGAGGUAUUCUGGAGCGUCUGGAAAAGCAAAUGUAGGUAUAAGUAACGAUAAAGGGGGCGGGAAACCCCCUCGCCGAAAGACUAAGGUUUCCUGAUCAACGCUAAUCGGAUCAGGGUCAGUCGGGUCCUAAGGCUCAGCCGAACGGCGAUGCCGAUGGCAGAAACGGUUAAUAUUCCGUUACUACCUUCAGGAGUGACGUGGAGACGCAGUAGUGACAGUGCCGCCAUCUGACGGAAUAGAUGGUUGAAGGGUGUAGGAGUCGAUCAUGGCAGGCAAAUCCACCAUGAGAUCCGAACCUGAGAGUAUGCCGCGUCCUUCGGGACAAGGCAAUAGUGCGCGUAAGCAUGCUGCCGAGAAAAUCCGCUAAACUUAAUCCUGCAGGUACCCGUACCGCAAACGGACACACGUAGUCGGGAUGAAUAUUCUAAGGCGCUUGAGUGAUUCACGGUUAAGGAACUAGGCAAACUGACCCUGUAACUUCGGGAUAAAGGGUCCCUACCCUUUUAUGGGAGGGCGCAGAGAAUCGGUCCAGGCAACUGUUUAACAAAAACACAGGGCUGUGCCAAAUCGAAAGAUCCAGUAUACAGCCUGACACCUGCCCGGUGCUGGAAGGUUAAGAGGAGAUGUCAUCGAUGAGAGAAGCGUUGAAUUGAAGCCCCAGUAAACGGCGGCCGUAACUAUAACGGUCCUAAGGUAGCGAAAUUCCUUGUCG